ACGGACUUUUUCUUCUCUUUUUCUCAGGACGAAGUUUCUUAUUCCCUAGCCUAAGCUACAGUUUGAUAUAAGCUCCUGCGUGCAGGUUGGCACAGGUGGCUUCAAUCUGCCGAUUACCAGAAGUACAAGAGGCUUGGUUUCCCUGCUACACACUGCCAGUUUGUUUGUUGACUUCAGUCAGUCAUCUACCUGUUGCGUUCUUGUACUUACCGCAAUUAUCUUUUGUCUAGAAAACUGUCUGCGUACUACCUGCCUCCAGUUUGCCUGCCUGCCCGCCCAUACUAACCUGCCCAUCUGCCUACUCUUCAGGUGGUGCACACGACGGAA
RNAcentral lists this long non-coding RNA (327 nucleotides) under Neogobius melanostomus (round goby). Its description in RNAcentral is "lncRNA (ENSNMLG00000003382.1)". The record is from RNAcentral. Lineage: Eukaryota; Metazoa; Chordata; Actinopteri; Gobiiformes; Gobiidae.